Molecule: long non-coding RNA, 2235 nt
Organism: Triticum dicoccoides
Lineage: Eukaryota; Viridiplantae; Streptophyta; Magnoliopsida; Poales; Poaceae
Exons: 5
Source: RefSeq, a predicted model, not a curated record
AAACCCUACCAAAAUUAUCCUCCAAUUUUCGCCGUCAUUCACGGAAAGGAAGGAGAUAGCGGCUGCGUCGGCGCCGAAUUCCUUGCCGGCGUGGCCGCGCCUCCAAUUCGGGAUGCUCGACGGCGAUGCCGCGUCCGGCGUCGAUCUACCCCGCUGUGCUCGUUGAGGAUGUGGUGCUGCCGUCCUUGAAGGCAGACGUCCUGGCCAUGGUGAUGGGGGCUGCGUGGGCCGUCGCCAUUGAUGGCAGGCGCGGUGGCCGCGAAACGGCGGCUGCGCGCGGUACGGUGACGGCGGCCCGGGAGACGGCGGCUGAGCGGUUUCUGUGUGCUGGAGUUUGCUCCGGCGGCGUGGAGCAGCAACCGGCGCAUCGCAAAGGGAUGGAGGCCCCCUUUUCCCAGCCAGUCACCGAUUAUACGUGGUUUGGUCGAUGAGGAUGGCGUGAAAGAUGGCUGCUCCACUCCGGGUAUGUUUGAUGCGAGCAUACAAAACCUUUGCUGUUGCGUCCAACCUAUACUGUAUAUAUGAAUGGAUAAAAUGUUGCCUGGCGAUCGGCGGGGGAGGGCCAGUGGGAGCGGGAACGAAGUUCACAGGCCAGGACGGCCCAUCCUGGGUCCCAUCGCCAUGAGUGCCAAGACCCGAUUUCUCUUCAACAUGACUCAUGGUUCAGAACGCAGAAUGAUUUUUAUAGCAUGGUAUAUGGCGGGAAAUAGAAGUGCUGGAAUUUGUAUUAGCGCCAGUUAAAAGGACGUAUUUUAACUGAUUUGACUAUUUUCAUUUUCAUUGGCACCAAGUAAAACCAUGGUGAUAGAAGAAAGGAAGUGACUGAAAGAAGGAAGGAGAUUGAUUGCCGUUUGAUUGAAAGAAGGAAGGAGAUUGAUCACCGUCAUGAAUGAAUUAAUUGCCAUGCAUGAAUUGAUUGCGUUUGGAUUGAUUGUUGAUUGAUUGCGCUUGGUUGCAAAGAAAAUCGGCUGUGGGAGAAAACCGUUGGAGGGAGGGAAAAAAAUCGCUCGAGGGGAGGGGGGAUCGUACGAAGGGGUUGGACGAAGAGGGGGAACGUAAGAGGGGAAACGGAACCUUACGUUUCUUUUAGGUAGUAGAGAUAGGGGAUUCCUCCAUCGAUGCAGUUUUUCGUACAUGGCUUCUGUGCGUUGGUUCUUCAGGUGCAACCAAAUGGUUAUGUGCAACCGGUGACAUUUGAGACUGGCCUGUUCGGCGAGAGGAGAAAGUGUCUAUUGUCAAACUUGUUCUUAACAUGUUACAUUUGGGUUGGAUUAGAUUAGAUAGCUCUAUUGUCUUCUUGGCUCUGUAAUAUAUAGCUGCAAGUAUUUGGAUAUGGAUAAUCCGUAGAUGGUCGUGAUGUUGUGUUUGGUUGAUUUCGUUCGGUUCGAGGAUGUUUGAAGUUAGUAUGGCGUGUGUUUUUGUUAGGAUAGCUGGAAGGUUGCGUUGGGCUGAAAUCCGGGGUAGGGCGUCCCCUUGAUGCGAAUGAUUAUGUGCCACUUGUCAGUUUCAUGAGAUAUGAAAUUGGGGGCAUGAUGCUCCCUUUCUAGAACAAUAAUAAUAUAGCUCUAAUGUGCUGUUUGUAUUUAUUUUUGUUUGUUUGUUGUGAGCAGCGAUGGAGGAACAGGCCCAUUGGCAAAUUGGAGGCAUGGUAUUCCUUUUCAUUCAUUUGGUCGUUUCGGAUCACCUAUAUUCAACCAAAGCGGUCAUCUUGUUGGGAUAUCUUAUCAAGAUUACGAGGCAUGGUCCGUGAUGUUCCUGCAACAAGCUGUCCUUAGGGAAGCAGAGAUCAGCAGUGCAUUGGGUAGUGUUUCGUAUGUACUGAACGGAAACCCAAUUCCCCGUGAAGUCCCAAUUCUGCCCAAAGGACCAGUCCCGCCCGUCUAGGAGCAGCAGGCUUGCAGGAGAUAGCGCCUCAUGCCUUCACCUUAACAGCAGAUGGAAAAUAUCAGAGUACAUCCACAGGCAGCUGCAUACACGGUGGAGUUGACUGUUGUUGCAGCCUAGUGUAGGUUUCAGUUUGGUUGCUAUUAUUAAACUAACCAUCUGACUUGUUAUCGCAGCCUAGUGUGCUUGUUGAUUUAGUUUCUGUCUUGAACUGCCAUGACUUAUUUGCAGCCUAGCGUAGUUUUCGAUUUAUUCUCUUUGUUGAAAUGUAAUCUGAUUUGCUGUGGUAGCUUAAUGAACUUGUGGAUUUAGUUUCUGUUGUGAAAGCUAUCAUGUGGCUGGAAUCACUUU